This 253-nucleotide ribosomal RNA is filed under the name uncultured bacterium. Its description in RNAcentral is "partial 16S ribosomal RNA". It matches the Rfam family "Bacterial small subunit ribosomal RNA", at positions 524 to 776 of the family's 1533-position model. The record is from RNAcentral.
GACAGAGGGGGCGAGCGUUAUCCGGAAUUAUUGGGCGUAAAGGGUACGUAGGCGGCUGGUCAAGUCUGGGGUCAAAGGCCACAGCUCAACUGUGGGAAGGCCCUGGAAACUGACCGGCUAGAGUGAGGUAGGGGUUGCGGGAAUUCCCGGUGUAGCGGUGAAAUGCGUAGAGAUCGGGAAGAACACCAGCGGCGAAAGCGCGCAACUGGGCCUCAACUGACGCUGAGGUACGAAAGCUAGGGGAGCGAAUGGG